GAUCAUGGCUCAGGACGAACGCUGGCGGCGCGCCUAACACAUGCAAGUCGAACGAGCGAGAGAGAGCUUGCUUUCUCGAGCGAGUGGCGAACGGGUGAGUAACGCGUGAGGAACCUGCCUCAAAGAGGGGGACAACAGUUGGAAACGACUGCUAAUACCGCAUAAGCCCACGGUGCCGCAUGGUACAGAGGGAAAAGGAGCAAUCCGCUUUGAGAUGGCCUCGCGUCCGAUUAGG
This 235-nucleotide ribosomal RNA is filed under the name uncultured bacterium. RNAcentral describes it as "partial 16S ribosomal RNA". It matches the Rfam family "Bacterial small subunit ribosomal RNA", at positions 15 to 245 of the family's 1533-position model. The record is from RNAcentral.